This 442-nucleotide ribosomal RNA is filed under the name uncultured bacterium. RNAcentral describes it as "partial 16S ribosomal RNA". It matches the Rfam family "Bacterial small subunit ribosomal RNA", at positions 338 to 794 of the family's 1533-position model. The record is from RNAcentral.
GCUACGGGUGGCAGCAGUGAGGAAUAUUGGGCAAUGGAGGAAACUCUGACCCAGCAACGCCGCGUGAAUGAUGAAGGUCUUCGGAUUGUAAAGUUCUUUUCUAAGGGAAGAAGAAAGUGACGGUACCUUAGGAAUAAGCCUCGGCUAACUACGUGCCAGCAGCCGCGGUAAGACGAAGGAGGCAAGCGUUAUCCGGAAUUACUGGGUGUAAAGGGAGCGUAGACGGUAAUGCAAGUCUGGAGUGAAAGGCGGGGGCCCACCCCCCGGACUGCUCUGGGAACUGUGUAACUGGAGUGCAGGAGAGGCAGGCGGAAUUCCUAGUGUAGCGGUGAAAUGCGUAGAUAUUAGGAGGAACACCAGUGGCGAAGGCGGCCUGCUGGACUGUAACUGACGUUGAGGCUCGAAAGCGUGGGGAGCAAACAGGAUUAGAUACCCUUGUAGU